CUUAUCAAGAAGCUAUUGGAUCAAAGUUGAUACCAACCCCCGCCGCCUCAUCGAUCUUGAAACGAGGUCUGCCAUUACUGAAAAAUGGCGACUAAAAAUGGCUCCUAGCAACAAAAGAUCGAAGCGACUGCAGAGCCUGCAGCAGUCUACCAUCUUUAUCUUCGUUUAUUCGCAGUUUCAAAAGAAAACAAAAAACAAACAAAUCAAAACCCGAUUACCACAGUAUAUUCAUCAAUUCUCACCGUUGCCUUCGAUCACAGAAGCCAAACCUCCAAUAACUUUACCAACAAUCUUCGAGGUUUUGGGUUUGAUUUCCAAUGGAUCCCAUUGCUUCACGUUUUGAUCAGGGAGAAAGCCACUUGGCUUUCACAUAAUCAGCUCUUCUCCACGGCGGGAAUGGCAUCCCUUUCUUCUUCAUGCUCAGUUUCGCAGCAUCCGUAACAAUGUUUAUGAUCUUCAAGAGACGAUCGGUUUUACCCAUGAAGAUAUCGGGAAGCAUUUGGAGAACAGCUUUGUAGCUUUUUGUUGAUCUUGCGAUUUCAAACUCUGAUCUGAAAUCUAUGUCGAUUAUAUAACGAUCGCCUUCUAUAAUAGCAUCGAUAUACUCGUGCUCCCCUGUUCAUAACAAAUCCAGAACAAACAUUCAGGAUCAAUGAAAUCAAAUCGAAUUACAAAGUUUUACA
Long non-coding RNA from Cynara cardunculus var. scolymus (artichoke), 683 nucleotides. RefSeq lists it as uncharacterized. The record is from RefSeq and is a predicted model, not a curated record. Lineage: Eukaryota; Viridiplantae; Streptophyta; Magnoliopsida; Asterales; Asteraceae. The transcript is spliced from 2 exons.